Molecule: non-coding RNA, 23397 nt
Organism: Monodelphis domestica (gray short-tailed opossum)
Lineage: Eukaryota; Metazoa; Chordata; Mammalia; Didelphimorphia; Didelphidae
Source: RefSeq, a predicted model, not a curated record
GAGGUGGCGGUGGAGGAGGAGAGAAAGAAAGAGGAUAGAGAGGGAGAGAGAGAAAGGAAGGAAGGGAAGGAAAGGGAAGGGAAGGAGGGAGAAAAGACAGAGGUGGGGAGUGGAGGAUGGGAGGAGGGAAGGAAGGAGAGAGGGGGAGGGAGAGAGAGAGAUAGAGAGCCGCAGAAAGGAGGGAGCGAGGUUAGGCUCCUAGAGUGGGAAGAAGUCCGAGGACAUCCAGGUUCACUUCUGCUGAAAAACAGACUUGAGGCGCCCCCUCCCAGCUUUUUUUUUCCUCCUCUCUCUGAGUUCCCGGCCCCAGAGUGCCAGCAGUGGGCAGGGCGGAGGACUCCAGCGCGUCCCUGCGGCCGGGGAUGGUGGCGCAGGGGGAGUCGAAGGGAGCCCACCUCCUCUAGUUCAGGCGAGUCUGAGAACGGCUCUGGGCAACCCUGGAGAUGUAAGAGAAGUGGCCCCCGCACCAGGACUCCCGAGCUGGGGGAAGGCAGGCAAGAGGGCAUCGAGGCAUCAGUGAAGGCAGAGCAGGGCAGGCAGGCAGGCGGGCAGGACAGGCAGGCGGUAGGGUAGGCAAGGCGCCAGGGGCCGAGUCCCGGAGCUGCGCGCCCUGUCGUGCUGCCAGGGCGGCUCCGCUCCGCUCCGUGCGCCCCCGCCAGCGCCCCGGCGGUGCUACGCCGCCCCCACUGGCUGGGUUGGAUCAGAUAGCUGGCUUUGUGUCCUCAGGCUCUGCUGGGUUCUUCUCGGCCCGCGGGAGGAAGUUGGAAGCCCCUGGCCCCGCACCGCAGCGGGUUAGUCCCCUUCAAGGCAGGACGCCUUUUGUUUGGGGAGAGGGAGCGUGUGUGCGCCCGUGUGCGCGCCUUUGCGAUUCUAUUAGCAUCGCAACGUGGACACCAACAAGGAAUACAUACGGAGAGGAGACACAUUCACGCACGCACACACACACACACACACACACACACAUACACACACACAGGCGCGCGCACACACACAGGCGCGUGCCACACACAGGCGCGCACACAUACACACCCUCCCUCCCUCCGUCCCUCCCUCCCUCUCUCCCGCCGGCUCGCCUGCCUCUGCCUCUGCCUCUGCCUCUCCUUCGCAGCCGGCAGCUGCACCUGCUCGCCUCCAGCCCUCGCCCUUAGGACUCGACCGAGCCGGGCCGGGGAUGUGGUCCCGGAGUGGCGGCGCGGGGACGCCGGAGCCCAGCGGCCUCCUGCCCCCACUGUCCCUGAGUCCUCAACCUCAGCAGGCUCGGGGAGGAAAGUGACUGGGGCAGCGCCUGGAGCCUGGGCCGAACGACUUAAGGGGGAAUCUCUGCUGUCUUCCAGGUUGUCCUCCCACCAAAGGUCUGUCUGUUUGCUGAGAAGUGACAAAACUUCUGCCUCAGGAAGAGGGAGUCCAGGGUCCUUUAGGAACCAGGUCAGAUAUCUCUUGGCUGUUUCUCAUGAUCUGGAGACCUCAUUUUUCUUGGCGUGGAUGGUGAUGUAGUUUGGAAUGUGACAUGGGACUCUCCUCUGCCUGGGUUGCUAUGGUGAGUGUGUGUAUAAAAUGGCGCAUGGGCUGAGGCAUAGGUGAUGUGUUAAAUCCUAAACAGUUUCCCUAAAAAACAGGACCUUACAGAGGAUGUUUGGAGAAAGAACAUGCAGUCUUUUCCUUGUGAUGUCAGCAGGGACAGCAAUGAUCUGAGCCCUGAACUCUUGAGCUCUCUGACCAACCCAUAUUUAAUCAGUUGUCAAGUCUUUUUGAUUCUUCUUCCUCAACAUCUUGGGGUUCCACACCCUUCUCUCCACUCACAUAGCCACUCUCCUGGUUCAGUCUCUUCUCACUUCUCAUUUCAAUUACUACAAUAGCUUUCUUUUUGGUCCCCUAUUCUCUUUUCUCUCCUUUUCUUUUAUUACAUUUAUCCACCCCAGUUCUCUUCUUCUCCCAAGUAAACAUCCUCAGUUGCCUCAUUCGGUCCUCAUGAGAUAUGGACUCAAGCCCCUUCACAAACCCAAUCUCCUUCCUCUGACAUUGUCCAAUUUUAGUCUCCUUCUUAAACUAUGGUGUCCAGAGCCAUAAGAGGUCUUUAAUAAAUAUUUGUGAACUUGAAGAUGAAUUUGGCAGUGAGUGGGGCUUGGGUCAUGCCUGGGGUUUGGGGAGUCAAUUUGUGGAUACAUAUAGAACAUACAUUUGGGACUAAGAUUAGGACUCAGUCUUCAGUUAGGAUUGAUAAUAACUGAUUUAUAUAACAUUUAAGUUUAUUUUAUUUGAGCCUUGCAACAACCUAAAGCAGCCACUUUAGAUACUAUUUGUCCCAUUUUAUGAAUGAGGAACUUGAAGUUAAGAGAGAGAAGUAAAUGACUUGUCUGUGAUCACAUAACUAGUAAGUAUCUAAGGGAGAAUUUGAACUAAGGUCUUCCUAUUUUCCAGACCAAUACAUAUUCUCCUGUGCUACAAUCCAUGGUUAGAGAGAAGAACUUUUCUUUCUUUUGGUCUCAGGUGGAUCCCCAGAGAGCCACUGAUUUGGACAUACACCCUGGACACUUCUCCCUAUAAUUCAUUUAAUACUUUUAGUUGGGCUCAGUCAGUCAUCUAGCAUUUAUUAAGCGAGUACCCUGUGCCAAGCACUGGGAAUACAGGAAAGGCAAAAGACAAUUCCUACUCUCAAGGAGGUUACAGUCUAAUAGGGAAGACAACAUGGAAAUCACUAUGUACAAACAGGAUACAUAUAUAUGAACAUACACAUGCAUGUCUAUGUAUAGGAGUAUAUACAUAUAAUUUAUAUAUGUACAUAUGUUGUACAUGUAGAUAUAUGUGUGCAUAUCUAUGCCUGUAUCUAUCUAAUCUAUCAUCAGUCAAUCACUCUAUCCAUCCAUCCAUCUAUCCAUCCGUCCAUUCAUCAUUUAUCCAUUUAUCUAUGUCUCUCUCUCUCUCUCUCUCUCUCUCUCUCUCUCUCUCUCUCUCUCUCUCAAUAUAUCUCAACAGAGAGAAAAAACUCUUCAGAGGGACCAGGAAAGGUAUCUUAUAGAGGGUAACAGGAGGCAGAGGUAAGGAGGGAGAGUGUUCCAGGAAUGUGAGAGAGCCAAUGAAAAUGCCUGGAGUCAGGAGAUGGAAUGAGUAUCUUUUGUGAAGAAUAGAAAUGAGGCCAGAGUCACUGGUUUGAAGAGGAAAUGGAAUUGAGAGAGGUAUAAGGUAUAAGAAGACUAGGAAAGUAAGAAGAAGUCGGAUUAAGGAAGGAUUUAAAGGCAAAACAGAGGAUUUUACAUUUGAGCUUGGAGGCAAUAGGGAGCCAUUGGAGUUGAUUGAAUUUGAUUGAAGUUGACAUGGCCAGAUUUAUAGUUAGAAAAAUUAAUUUGACAGCUAGGUGAAGGAAGAGUUGGAAUGGAAUCAAGAGUUAGGAUCAAGGAGAGACUGAGGCAAGAAGUUCAACUAGAAUGAUCUUGUAAUAAAAGAGGCCUGAGGGAAUGAGGUCAUGGUGAGAAAGAAAUGUUAUAGAGGUAGAAAUGACAGUCUUGGGCAACUGUUUGGAUAUGAGAAGUGAGAAAGUGAGGAGUGAGUCAAAAAUGACACCUAGGUUGCAAGUCUGGAAAGAUGUUGAGCUCUCUAUAGCAGUAUGGAAUUUGGGAAUGGAGAAGAAUUUUGGGGGGAAGAUAUAUUGAUAUGUAGUAAAAUGUCCAAUUAUAUAGUUGGAGAUUUAAGACUAGAAAUCAGGAGAGAAGUUAGGAAUGGUCAAAUAAAUUUAAGAAUCAUCUACAUAGAGACUGUAGUUAAAUCCAUGGAGGCCAAUGAGAUCACGAAGCUGUAUAUUAUUAAAAAAGAGAAGAGAGCACAAGGCAGGGCCAUGGGGUUUCCCAGGCUCUGUGGGAUGAUUUCUCUACCUUUUCUAAAUAACAGAAAAUGAUUAUGAAGGUUUAGAUCCCUUCCCUGAGCAGGAUAACCUAAAGCUGGGCUGACCACCCCUCAAUGGUUAGCUCCACCAGCUUCAAUCCACCCUUUCCCAAGAGACUUUUGGUUCAGUCCGAUCCAGGUGUACAUCCCUCUGGGAUAUUAUUAGACCUUUCCUGGAGAAAAUAAAUAUUUAUGCAGUGACUCUGCCCAGCAAAUGAUUAAAUGAGAUAUCACCAAGAGGUGCUGGAGCGAAGCAGGAAUAGGAACUUUCGUUAACGGAGUCUCUUUUGAUUUCUGUGUUGACUUUUUUUUCUUCUCAAUAUCCCUCUUUGUCACUUUCAACAUCAGCUCUGUAGCAGAUCUGAUGGGUAGCUUCUUCCUUGGAGGAUUUUUUGGUUUUAAUUCAGUGUCAGAUUGUGAUUCUGUUUGCUGAAUUGGCCUCACCUCUUCCUGGGAGGAAGGAAGCCAGGGGUUGGGUGAGAAGUGGGGAGAAGACGGAGGGUAGAAAGAAGAGCAAAGGGUAGAUGGGUUCAGGACAGUUGAAAAUACCUUUCUGUGAUUGUUCUAUUGAUUUGGGCAAUGCUAUGGAGGGAUGAAGAAGCCACCUAGUCAUGGUUAGUCAUAGGAGUCUUUUGACUCCAGGAAAGGAAUGACAAGAUGCUAAAAUUUCAUUUAACCCAUCUCUUUAAAAGUCACUAGUCCAAACCAUGGUGACACCCAAUUGGUGUGGAGCUUUUUGCUAGAUAUUAUGGGAAGAAGAAAAGGGAGGAGAUAAGGUCCUGCUUAUGGAAAGACAUGGGAAACACUGAUCUGAGGGGAGAAAUAUAGCCCCUUUUUCAUAGAAAUCCCUUGGACUUAUUUAUGGAUGAGCCAGAGGACUUCCCUCAGGUAUUUCUUGGUUUAAUGAGGGAAACACUGACACUUCCUUAAGGAGCUUUCUUGAAUUGUGAUGGAGACACAUAUUUUAUAUGAUGGUUUAUAUAUUUAUAUUUAUAUAGAUAUAUAAUUUAUAUAUAAUAUAUCUAUAUAAAUUAAAUUUAUAUAGAUAUAUUUAUAUAGAGGGCUGCUUUGGAGUCAGAGGGCCUAUGCUCAGAUGCAAACUCUGCCACUUAAUCCCUUGGCAGUAAGUUAUUUUACUCUCAUGGAGUAAAUGCAUCUGCAAAAUGAGGCAAUUGGACAAGAUGACCUCCUUUGGAGGAGUUAUUGGUCUAAUGGAAAAGACAUGGCUAUCCCAUUGAGGAAUGCUCAUAGCCAGGCUCCUAAGCCCCAUGGAGCUUUCCAACAAGAAAUGGAGUGGUCUCAAAAGGUACCAUCAGAGACCUGUAUUUUGCUAAUUGAUCUGCAUUCAGAGAACACAGGGCUGACCCAAAGAAAUACUGGCAAUGGAUGUAGUGCUUCUCUUCACUUAAAUACAUUGGCCAAAAACAGCCUCAGUGCUAGUGAAAGUAUGAGUAUACUCUCCUGGUGCAGUAGGUACACCAGCUCCCUUCUUGCACCUACAGUCCAGCUGCAUUUCCUCCUCCCUCUUGUGCGAGUGCCAGGCUGACUGUAGGGACAUGACCCUUUCCUUAAGGAAGCCCCAGAUUUAAUAGUGGUGCUCAUGGCUCCUAUUCUUGAAAAGACGAUAGGACACAGUCAUGAAAGCAUGGAAUCAUGGAGAAAUACUAUAUUAUUUAGUGACUGGAGGAAUUCGGACUGGAUGCAGUGCGUUGAUUUUGAAAAGAGUUUGGAGGGAAGGUUAUGCCUUGGAAAGAAGCGUGUGUGUGUGUGUGUGUGUGCAUUGUAGACCCAGAAGUUGUAGUGAUUUGGGUACAGUUUUACUUGUGACCUUGUUUCUAUUGUGUAAAUUAAGUGUUAGAAGCUUGGAUCCCCUGUUGUAGCUGUUACCCUCUGGGAUGGGGAAUGCCUCAGCCAGAGAUAUCACACAAGGAACAGGCAGCUCAGCCCAUGGGUUCCUUUUUUCUUCUUAAAAUAUUUCUGAGCUACACACACACACACACACACACACACACACACACACACACACACGAAAGAAGAUAAAAGCAAAAAAACAUUCCAAAUGUAAAGUAGAACCACAAAAAGGAUUAUAUGAAUCUUUAUUACAUAGAGAUUGCUUUUGAAAAGUACCUACAUAUACCUUUCAAAGCUAUUCCAUAUUUUCUAUUGUCUGUGUUUCCUUCUAAACUUCCUUCUGUUUUCUUUUGUACAUUAAAAAGUGCUUCAAUAAUCCCUUUUCUUCCUCCCUCUCCACCUCCCUUCCUUGUUUCCUUCCUAUCCCUCCAAAAGAAGAUGAAUCACAUCAUUGACCCUCUGGAACCAUGGUGGAUUAUUGUGUUGAUCAGAGUUCCUAAGUCUUUCAGUUAUUUGUCUUUACAAUGUGGUUGUCACUGUAUAAAUUGUUCUCCUGGUUCUGUUCAUUUCAUUCUGAAUCCCUUCAUAUAAAUCCUUCCAGGUUUCUCUAAAACUGUCACUUUUAUCAUUUCUUAUGGCACAAUAGGGUCCCAUCAUCUUCAUAUGCCAUAACUUGUUUAGCUUUUCCCACUCUCUUCAUUUCCAGAUCUUUGCUACAGCAAAAAGAGCUCCUAUUUUUGGUAAACACACACAGAUCCCUUUCUUCUUUCUUUGAUCUCUUUAGGGUAUAGUUCUAGUAGUGAUAUUGCUAGGUUGAAAAGUCUUUGGGGCACUCUUGAAUCACUAUUGGAAUUCCCUUGGUAACAUUGGGUUCCUUACGUCCUAGUGCCUGUAGGUUCUAUACCCUAGAAGAAGAAGAGCAGCCACCAUACCUCAUGUCACUUUUCAAAGGGAAAAUAGGGAGAGAAACUCUGAUAGAGCUUAUUUGACUCCCUUUGUCCUCCCACCCUCCCUGCUUUUCUCCAGCAAGGGCCAUGAAAAACAUUCACUUGAACUUGGGUGGAAGUAAAAGUUCAUUAAGAUACUGUGGUCAUUUCUGGACAUUAAUGGCAAAAGAGUCCAUUCUACUGUCUUUCAAAUAGCUUACUCAGAUCUGAGGUCUAUUGCUGCCAGUAGUGCCCAACCUUUAUGUCUGGAAUUGCCUAUAGAUCCAUCUGCUGCUGUCCAACACCAUUCAGCGUGUCCAGCUGUCACAUCUCAUUUCUGGCUGUGAGCCUCACGCACGGAAUCAUAGUAUGUUAUCUCUGGGAGGGAUUUUCCAAGCCAUUUAAUCUAAUCUCAUUUCACAGAGGUGGAAACUGAGUCUCAAAGACCUCCAGAGAGUUAGAGCCCUUGAAUCUAAGAAUCAGUAGUGACCUCAGAAGGACCCUAGUCCAACUUCUAGGUGAUCAGGAAUUCCUCCUGCAUCGUUGCUGAUAAGUAAUCAGUGAACCUCCAGUGAUGAGGGGUAAUCAUAUGUGAUGGCAAAUUUAUUUCUACUCUGGGUACAAGAUUCCACAUUUGGACAGCUUCAUUUGUUAGGAUAUUUUCCCCUUUCGUGGAGCCAAUGCCUGCUUCUCUGUAGCAUUUGACUGUUUCUCCUAUUUCUGCCAUCUGGGGCCAAGCAGAAUAAAUUUAAUUUCUCUUUCUCAUGUUAGCUCCUCAACUACCUGAAAACAUUUGCCAUGGCUUCCCUAAGCAGCCUUUUCUCCAACAGUUCCUUCAUCUCCCUUCAUGCCUUCCGUGGUAUUUUCUGUAGUCCCACCUUUCAUUUUAGGCACUCCUCUCAAGGAAUCAAAGAAUUAUAGAGCUUGAGCUAGAAGGAAUCUCUGAUGUGAUCUAGUCCAACAACUUCAUUUUACGUGUGAGGAAACUGAGCAUCAGAGAGGUUAACUGACUUGAUUGAGGCCAUAUAGUGUAACCAUCAGAGACAGGAUUUGAAUCUAGGAUCUCUGAUUCCAGAGUCAUUGUACUUUCCUCAGGACCACAUUGCCUCCUUUAUUCUAGGAUGAAAGCAUUCUUCUUAAAUGUAGUCCUCAGAGCUUAAACCUCCUCCACAUGUGGUCAGACCAAGGUGGGGGAUGUCACUUCAACAUACUGAAAACUGAUUCUCAACAUAGCCAGUCAGAAUUAGAACUUUUGGCUGUUCUGUCCCACUGUUGACUCUCUCAGCUUGUAGUCUACCACAAUUCUUCAGGUUAUUAUCAUAAAUUAUUAUUUAGUCAUGCCUCUUACAUCCUAUAUUUGUGCGGAUCUUAUUUUUUGAACCUAAAUGCAGGACUUUACAUUUAUCCCCAUCAUUUUUUUUAAACCCUUACCUUCCGUCUUGGAAUCAAUACUGCAGAAGAGUGGUAAGGGCUAGGCAAUGGGGGUCAAGUGACUUGCCCAGGGUCACACAGCUAGGUAUCUCCAUCAUUUUAAUAGAUUUGACCUGUCAGGCACUUUUUUUUGGGUCUUGGCUUUGCCAUCUUACCUAUUCUUCUAAUUUGGUGCCAUCUGAAAAUUUGAUCAGCAUGCUAUCUUUCCUUCCUAUAAUCAUUGAUAAAAACAUAGAACUUGUUCAGGCCAUGAUAGAAUUCUUGGACACUAAUCCAAAGACCCAUCUCCUGAGUGACAUCAAUUCAUUAAUCACUACUCCCUGAGUUAAGAUAUUCAACCAGUAUUAUCAUGGAGCACACAUAUCUAUAUUUUAUUUACAAGGAUAUCUACAAAGUACUUAGCCUUGCUGAAAUUUAAGUAUACUGUGCUUUACUAUUACCCCCAAAUCUACCACUAAAAUAGUUCUGUCAAGAAGAAAAUGAAGUUAGUCUAGUAAGAACUCUGUACUUGAGAAAUACGUUGACUCCUAACGAUCACAGCUUCCCUCUCCCAUUGCUCGCUGGCAAUCUCUUUAAUAAUGGAUUUUAGAAUUUUGCCAGGUAUUGAGGUCAGAAUCACUGGACUUUCCUUUAAAGAAUCUAUCCUCUCCUUUUUGAAAGGAAAUUCCAGAUUUGUAUUUCACCAAUCCAGCUCUGAAAAGCUCUGCUUUUUCUCCUUGUUCUUCAAAGUCGCUGCUAGGAAGCCCUCCAUGAAAAAGUACUGAAUUUAAAGUCAGAAGAAUCCCAGAAUCUUAAUUGAAAGGAACCUCAGAGACCAUUUAGUCCAACCCAGAUCUGAACAAGAAACCUCCCUACAAUAUAACUGACAAGUGGACCCUCUAUCCUUUGCUAAGAGGCCUUCAGUAAGAAGGAACUCACCAUCUCCUGGGGCAACCUGUUCACACUUUGGGAGAGCUUUUAUCAUUAGGAAAAUUUCCCUGUUAUUAUUUUUUGAGGGAAACCCACACCCCCAACUUUUCUACUUCUGGAUAGAAUCCAUCUAUCCCUUUUGUAUAAGACAAUUCUUCAGAGACUUGAAGAUAGCUAUCAUGUACAACCAAAGCUUUCUCUUCUCCAGGCUUAGCAUCCCAAUCUUCUAAUGACCUUCAUGUAGUAAGGUCUCAAGGCACCUUUCCAUGCUGGUUGCUCCUCUAGAUACUCCCCAACUUUUCACUUUCUUUCCUAAAAUAGAGUAUCCAGAAUGGAAGAUCAUAUACCAACUAUGUUAUAACUAGCACAAAAUGCAUCAAUACUGCCACUUCCUUAGAGUUAAAUGUUAUGUCUCCAGUAAUAAAGACCACAUAAUGCUGUUGACUUGUAUUGACCUCAAGGACCACUAAAGACUAUAGAUCUGUUUUUAAAAAUGAACUUCUGACUAGUCAUAAGAUCUGGAUUUGAGUUCCAUUCUAUCACCACAUGAGCUUGGGAAAGUUGCUUACCCUCUCUAGGUCUCAGUUUCCCCAUUUGUCCAAUGAGAUGGUUUGACUUGAUGAUCUCUUAAGUCCUCUCCUCCUCUGAUAUUCUGUCAUUCCCUGAGCUACCCCACCUUCCUCUUUCCUUUUGUUCUAGCUUCUUAGCAAGUUUUACACAGUUCAUUUUUUAAGAGCUGAAAUUAGCUUCUACUUUGUUUCCUCGAUUUACUUCAGCACCUCCAUCCUCUCCCAUGGCUUCAAUUAUCACAUCUGUAUGGAUGACUCCUAAAUCUACUUGUCUCACACUGACCUCUCCCCUGAGUUCCAGCCCCAUAUUUCCCACUGCCUGCUGGAUCUCUACCUGCUGUCACUUGAGUCUCAACAUGCCCCAAAGUGACUUCAUAAUUCCACUCCCCACCCCAUAUCAGACCAUUUCCCCAACUUGAUUGUUUUCAUUAAUGGCACUGUCAAAGCUCUAGGCUUGAAACUGUGGUACCCUUUAUACUCUACUCUUCCAUCAUCCUUGCCCCCCUCUCUUCCCCUUACAAUCAGUUAUGAAGUCCUGUUGAUUCUACCUUGGAAAUAUCUCUUACAUACACACACCUCCUCUAAUCUGCGCUGGUUACUACCACCUAACUUCAGUCCUUCAUCUCUUCUUACAGCCUCCUAAGGGGGCUUCUUGCCUUAAGCUUUUCCCCAUUCCAAUCUAUCUGUCACAUAGCUGCCAGCAUCUCCCCACAGCACAACUCUAACCAUGCUACUUCUCUUCUGUGGCUCCCUAAUGUCUAUAGAAUAAAAUACCAAAGUUCUCUACCAUCUGCCUCUGACCCACCUUUUUUUGAAGUCUCAUUUAAUUCUUCCUUGCUUCAUGUAUACUAUGGUCUGACCAAAGUGAAUGACUGGUGGUUCCCCAAACACAUCACAUCCUCUCUUGCUUAGGAACAUUCAUGCAAACAGUCCUCUUCAGGUAUAUUUGUCUGUUGGCAUUCCUCCUCUCUAGCAUUGUACUCCAGAUUUUUAGACAUCUAAUUGAUUUUUUUAAAAACAGGUACCUUCCAUCUUGGAAUCAAUACUGUAUGUUGGUUCCAAGGCAGAUGAGUGGUAAGGGCUAGGCAAUGGGGGUCAAGUGACUUGCCCAGGGUCACACAGCUAGGAAGUGUCUGAGUCCAGAUUUGAACUCAGAACCUUCCAUCUCCAGGCCUGGAUUUUUAUCCACUGAACUACCUCACUGCUCCUUGACACAUAAGUUGAAAGUGUCCUGAGGAAAAAAAAAUCAGAAGGAUUCCAUGGCUAAUAUUAUAUGGUGCAAGUCAACCAGAGGGAUGGGAAGUUCUGAAAAGUAAAAUUCUGAAGUCAUAAAGAGAGUGAGGAGGAAAAAAGAGAAUUAUACCAAAAAGUUAAUAUGGAUGCAUUGGGAUCUCACUAACCAAUUCAGAUGAAAAUGUGCAGAAGACCGAAAGAAACAUAGCUAACAGAAUUAAUACCAAAGUGUGGUACAGAUCUAGAGAAAGAGGGCUCACAUGAAAAGCUAAGAAUAUUGUAAUUUUGGAAAACUUAUGUAAAAUAUUAUUAUAUGUAAUUGGGAUAAAUAUUACAUUUUUAAAAAGUAAAAAAGAAAGCUAAGGACAACAAAGAAGUCUUUCCCACACCAAAGUAUUGGGGGAAAGAAGAUCAAAGGGACAAGAUCCCUAAUAGGGUACAUGCAGUGAUGACUAAUGACAACCAAUGACAAAGAAAAAGCUGAAAAAGUGGAAAAUAACUUCUGCUUCUGUUUUUUUUUCCCCCAAAGAAAAUGCUUUUUAGACAACAGAAAAUGGUUCAUGGUUGAAACCUAAUAUGGGUAGGUGAAUUGUAAGCAUCAUGCUUAGAACACACUAGGACUGGAGUCAGGAAGACUUGUGUGAUGUUGGGCAAGUCACUUUACCUUUUUGCCUCAGUUUACUCAUUUGUAAAAUGUGGUUAAUAACAGCAUCUACCUUGUAGGGUUGUUGUAAGGCUCAAAUUAGAUCUGAAGCACUUAGCAUAGUACCUGGCACAUAGUAAGCUCUAUAUAAAUGUUAACUAUUAUUAUUAUCAACUCAUGAUGAAUUCAUAUCAUCAUGCUAGAGGAACAGAAUGUUGAAAGAACUUAUAAAUUUCAUUGCUGAAACUGGAUCAUGAUCCUAGGUAGGUUUUCUAUCUAAUAUACCAUACUGCCUCUUAGGUGGCACAUGGUAGGCAUUUAAGAAAUGUGGAAGGAAGGAAGAAAAGAAAGAAGGAGGGAAGGAAGGGAGGAAAAAAAGCAGGAAGGAAAGAAAGAGGAAAAGAAGAAAAGAAGGAAGGAAGGAAGGAAAGAAGGAAAUAAGAAAGGAAGGAAGGAUCGAAGGAAAGACUCAUUCUAUGAACAUAUUCAAUUAAUGUUUAUUGACUGAUGGUCUUGUUCUAGUCCUAACCUUGGCACUCUCACUUCUAUCUCAUUCUCAUUUGUCAUAGUUAGAUGAUUUUUAGUCAAGGAACUAAAGAUAUUCAUCUUAGAGAAGAGAAGACUUCAUGUAGCUAGGGCAAGAGAGCUUCAGGCAGCUGGGGAAGGGCUGCCCCAUGGAAAAGGGAAUACACUUUUUCUGCUGGGACCUCGAGGAGCAAAAGGUGAAAGUAGCAGAAUGGCAGAAUUAACUCCAUAUGAGGAUUGUUUGUGGAUGCUCCCACAGGGCAGAGGCUAUUUGUACUUUUUCUUUUUUGUUUUUUCCCCCCUCAAUGCUUAAUACAGGGCCCAGGAGAUAGUAGUAAGUACUUAAUUGUUGAUUGAUGGAUGGAUUAAUAGCCAGAGCUUUCCUGAAAUGGCUUGGGGCUGUUUUAGGUGGCAGUGAGUUUCCAGUCACAGAAGCUUUCUGAACCCUGGCUGGAACACUGGAGAGACUAUUGAGGGAAUUCCUGCAUGGGGAGAGUGGAUUUGAUUGGUUCUGAGUGCCUUCCCAGCUUUGCAAUUCUAUGAUUUUCUCUUAAGUGCUAAAUGAAUAAUCUAGACACUCAGAGCUAGAAGAGUCUAGCAGAGGGAGGGGCUCUCAUAUGCCGAAGGUUUUGCAGAGGAGAUGGAGCUCGAGUGAUCUCAAAGGAUGCUUCUGCUCUAAUCCAGCCAAAGGAGGCAAGAUUUAAACUCAGAGCCUCCUGAAUCCCAAACCCAACUCUCUCUCCUCUCUACUACCCAGCUCUUCUUCCUGGAAUACAUCCUAGGACCCUAGGGAUUAGUACAUUGUAUGCAGGGGAUGGACAGAAGAAAAGACUAGCCUGACUAGAGCAAAGGGUUUUUGAGAGAAGCAGGAAGAGAGAGAAGAUGGCAAAAUAGGAAAGCUCAGGCAGAGGAGAGCUUUGAAAGGCAGACUGUUUUAGAGAUGGGUUUGGUAACAUGAUGGCUUGAAAAGCUGGAAUAAAGCAAGUCAUUAGAGAGGCAUGUUAAGCUGGGAAUCAGUGAUGGCAUCCGAUGUAUAUUGUAUGUAUGUGUGUACGGGGGUGUAAUAAUUAUUAUUGAUGCUGUAGGCUGCUUCUAUGAAAUCCUAGCAAUAGAAAAGAAUCUGUGAGGAUGCAUGAGCUAACAACUGCCUAGAUCCUGCAAGGUUGGGGUCAGGGGAGGGAAAUUGCUAUUUUAACAUAAGGAAGUAGCAAGACUAGGAUGCUGGGAUAACAUAGGAUGUCCUUUUCUCCAUCCUGAUCUCUUUGGCUCUUCUGCAAAUCAGCAGUGUGGACUCCUGCCCCAUCUCCUUGAUUUUUUCUUUUCCUGUGAGUUCUGUGACACUACUCUCAAAGUUGAUCUUCUACCUCUCUGAUUGCUCCUUCCCUCUCCUUUUCUGGCUCUUCAUCCUCCUCCUGGCCCUAAAGAUGAUGCUCCCAAGAUUCUGUACUCCCGCAUCUUAUGUUUCUCUGCCCUCUGUCCUUUGACUGACCCCUCCCAACUCAUGGCCUCAAUUGUCACCUGCCUUCUAUCUCAUUGCCACCACCCUAGUUCAGGUUCUUCUCUUUUCUCACCCAGACUUUUGGACUAUAAGUGUUAAUUGUUCUUUAACAGGUUGAUAGAAUUCUCCUUUAAAAAACCAUUAGGUCCAGGUGGAUUUUUUCUCUCUUUCUAUCCUGUCUAUUGCAAUAACCUCCUAAGUCUUUCUGCCUCUAAUCUCUUCCAGUCCAGUUCAUCCUUCCCAGAUUGUCCAAGUGACCGUCAUGAAGUAUAGCAUUAAUCUUGAUAUUUCCCUACUUAAAAACUUAAAAGUACUUAAAGUAUGUGUGUGUGUAUGUGUGUAAGGUCUAUGUCCAAGAAUGUAUGCCUCUUUCUUUGAGUCCAUCUCCACUCAGAAGGUGAGUAACACUCUUCAUCACUGGUCCCCUGAAGUCAUGGUUGGCCAAUGCACUGACCAGAGUUCUCAAAUCUUUUAGAGUUGUUUCCCUUUCUAAUAUUAUCUGAACUAUCUUUCUGGAAAAAUAAUACACCGGUUCCCUCUGGCUCACUCUAAGUUCCAGCCAACCAAAUCUAUCUUCUAUUUACCUUUCAGUGCUUCCUAUUUCCCACCUGUCCUUCUCUAGCCUUUUUUUUGCCAUGCCUGCCAUGCUUUCUCUCUUCACUUCUGCCUUGGAAAAUCUAUAGCUUCCUUCAGAAAUAGCUCUAGUGCUACCUCCUGCCCACCCCAAUUGUUUUUUUUUAAUUAAUUUUGAGUAUAUUUUGUAGGCAUUAGUAUAUACAUGUUGGUCCCUUCAGGUCAGGUGGGAUGUCAUCUCCUUGGGAGCAAGGACUGGUUAAUUUUUGUCUUAGUCCCCCAGUGCCUAGCACAGGGCCUCUUCAGUUCAUAUGGCUAGGACUUGAACUUUUGUUCCCUGAUCCCAGAUCUAGUGGUUUUUCCACACUUUCAUACUAUCUGGAUUGCUCUCCCUCCUUGACUCAACCUAGAAGGGAUACUGGACAUAUCUGAGGUUCUAUCCAAUUGCCACUUGCUAUUUAUAUACUGCAUAGGAGCAUCUAGGUGGUACAGUGGAUAGAGAGCCUUGAGCCAGGACUCAAGAAGACUAGCAUUCAAAUCCAUCUUUAGAUGGUAGCUGCGUGACCCUGGGCAAGUCACUUAAUUGCUGUCUGCCUCAGUUUACUCAACUGUAAAAUGUGAAUAUUUCAGGAUAGGAUUUGUGAGGAUUAAAUAAGACUUGUAAAGCACUUAGUAUAGUGCUUGUCAAAUAGUAGGUACUUAAUAAAUGUUUAAUUCUUCCUUAUUGACUGCCUUGAACCUCUCAAUUGUUGAUGUUAUAUAACCAGGAGCUUGGGUGGAUGUGCAUGGCUGUGGGAUUGUUCAUGUCAUUGUCUUUGUAUGUAUUGCAUAUGUGUGCAUAGAUUCAUGCCUGUGUGUGGGGAAAUGUGUGUGCGACCUGCAUGAGUGUGCUUGGCUUUGUGGGGUGGGUCUUCUCUGGUGCUCCACAUACUUCCUAGAACCCAGAGUCCUCCCCUCAGUGGGAAGUUCUCCCAGGGAAAUUGGGACACUGGGUCUUGCUUUACCUUGUAUCACCUCCCACGAGUUAUUUAUCACCCGGGGGUGGUUUCUAAAGAAGAGUCUCAUCAUUGGAGACUAUGUUGGGUGCCUCCAGAUGCACCUGCUGUCACACUUAGUCCCAUCCUACCUCUUCACAUCCUCUAUGGGGAUGGGAAUCAUGGACUUCUCCUUGGGACCCAGAGAAAGAAUAGCCCCCAAGAGAAGCUAGAAUUGGAAUGGGCUAAAGGGCUGAUAGAUAGAUAAACUGUGAUGCUCACAGCAAAUAGAGAUAUUCCUAUACCCACUUUAUUGAUGAGAAAACUGAGGUUUAGUUCAAUAUUAUAUAACUAGCAUUUAAUAAAUGUCUACUAAACUGAUUAGGCAUCUCCCCUCAGGAAGUUUUUUUUUUUUUUGAGGGAGGAGUCGAGGGACGAAGAGAUUGCCAUAAGGAUACUCGGAGCCAUUUGGGACUCAGGCCCAAGUCUCUUGGCUUCUGGCUCAGUGGACUCCUCAUUCUACCAGUCUACUUUGCUAGUCUCAGCUUCCAGGCCUGGAGGCUGACUCUUUCCUAAGACAAGCUGCAGCCUCAUAAGAGCCUAAAACAGAGAGUAUUUGUAACCUGGCCUUUUGCUGAGGUGUGUGGGUUGGGUUUUGAGGGACCUGGGAUCAAGAACUGGCUGUAGGGGCAGUCUGGGACCUCAGGUUAGACCAUAUUAUCCCCUUGGCCAUCAGGGAGAAGAAAUGAUGUCAUGAGGCCAACAGGCACAUACUCUUGCCAAAGUCCCACUGAUAUCAUCCUUUCCCCCCUUCUCUGGCCCUUACCCCUCUCCUCCUGUCACUGGAGCUGCUUUUAGCCAGGAGAUCUGGUAGGACAAGUAAUAGCUUCCUGUCCCAGUCUAAUGUACAGGGCUACUGAUGGAAGGAAUGCACCUGGCCAGGUGCUAAUGGAAGCCAGGAAUGAAAGAGGAAGAGUCCCAGCAUCAUGGAUCUGAGAGCUUGGAGGCGCCUCAUGAGCUCUGUCCCCAGGGUGGUUCCAGCCUAUCCUUCCAGGCUUAUGACACCUUCUUCCCCAUCACACAUACUGCACCAAAUUGAUCUCCUUACUGUUGUCACACAUGACAUUCUUUUUCUUCUCCCCCAUGACAUUCUGCCCCAUGCCUAGAAUGCUCUCUUUUGACAUCCCCAUCUCUUAGAAUCCCAAGUUUCCUUCAAAACUCUGCUCAAGAGCUAUCUUCUCCAUGGCACCUUCCCCAAUAUCCCUCAACCUCCUCCUCUAAAACUAGCUUGUAUUUAUUUGUGUCCAUGUGUAUACAUGUAGACUCAUAUAUAAACACACAUGUAUACAUGUAGAGCCGUACCCAUGUAUGUAUAUACUUCUAAUAUUCAUAUGUUGUUUUCUCAUUGAAACAUAAGCCCCAUGAGAGCAGGCAGGGACAAUUUCACUUUUGCCUCUGGGUCCCCAUCAUUUAUAUUACAUCAGAGGCACCUAGAAAAUGCUUGGUGAUGGUGUUGGUCCCCUACCAUCAAGCCAGCAUCAGGCACUUAAUAUUACUCACUGAGUUGAUUUGAGAGUUGAGUCUCUGACUCACCUGGGGUUCAGUGUUCUGCCAGCUUCAGAGUUUAGUCCAUGACCAAGGUUAGGGCUCAGGUUAUACAGACAGAUUCUGUUUCACUACAACUUUGUUUUCUGGAGAAAAUGAGGCAGGGUGGAUCAUGGCUUUCAUUUUCUUAAGGCAAAGGUUAUCCUAGACUGGAGUUUCCAGUGGAUUAUUGUCUUGUGCUUUCCCCUUCCCUCCCCUCCCCUCUCCUCUCCUCUUCUCUUUUCUCUUUCCCUCUCUUCUCUUCUCCUCUCCUCUCCUAUCCUUUCUUCUCUUUUCUCUCUAUUCUUCUUUCAAGGCCCAAUUGUAGGGCUUGAGUGCCUUUGCUUCAGAAAGCUUUCUCUGGCCACCUAUGUAUCCACUCUCCUUUCUUUCUUCCAAACUCCCACUGUACUUUCUGUCUAUACUGAAAUCUCCCACUUUGGAAAAAAACUGUUUUUGUCCUUCUGUUUCAUGUCUGGGUCUCAUUCUCACUGCCUAGAAGGUAGAAGGAACUAUCUCUUCACUCCUAUCCUCUGUGAUACCUAUUAUAUCACAGGGUCAUCCAUAUAUACAGAAGGCACUUGGUAAAUUGUUGUUGAAUGAUUUGAUGGAAAAGAAAGGAAAAUUUGGUACUGGCUAAGAGACAGAAAGGAGGAUCAGUGGAAUAGACUUAGCGUAAAUGACCUCAGCAAGUCAGUCUAUGACAAACCCAAAGACCCCAUAUUUUGGGACAAAAAUCCACUAUUUGAUAAAAACUGCUGGGAAAAUUGGAAGACAGUUUGGGAGAGAUUAGGUUUGGAUCAACACCUCACACCCUACACCAAGAUAAAUUCAAAAUGGGUGAAUGACUUGAAUAUAAAGAAGAAACUAUAAGUAAAUUAGGCAAACACAGAAUAGUAUACAUGUCAGACCUUUGGGAAAGGAAAGGUUUUAAAACCAAGGAAGACUUAGAAAGAGUCACAAAAUGUAAAAUAAAUAAUUUUGACUACAUCAAAUUAAAAAGUUUUUGUACAAACAAAACCAAUGUAACUAAAAUCAGAAGGAAAGCAACAAAUUGGGAAACAAUCUUCAUAAAAACCUCUGACGAAGGUUUAAUUACUCAAAUUUACAAAGAGCUAAAUCAAUUGUACAAAAAAUCAAGCCAUUCUCCAAUUAAUAAAUGGGCAAGGGACAUGAAUAGGCAGUUUUCAGAUAAAGAAAUCAAAACUAUUAAUAAGCACAUGAAAAAGUGUUCUAAAUCUCUUCUAAUCAGAGAAAUGCAAAUCAAAACAACUCUGAGGUAUCACCUCACACCUAGCAGAUUGGCUAACAUGACAGCUAAGGAAAGUAAUGAAUGCUGGAGGGGAUGUGGCAAAGUAGGGACACUAAUGUAUUGCUGGUGGAGUUGUGAAUUGAUCCAACCAUUCUGGAGGGCAAUUUGGAACUAUGCCCAAAGGGCAAUAAAAGACUGUCUGCCCUUUGAUCCAACCAUAGAACUGCUGGGUUUGUACCCCAAAGAGAUAAUAAGGAAAAAGACUGUACAAGAAUAUUCAUAGCUGCACUCUUUGUGGUGGCCAAAAAUUGGAAAAUGAGGGGAUGCCCUUCAAUUGGAGAAUGGCUGAACAAAUUGUGGUCCAUGUUGGUGAUGGAAUACUAUUGUGCUAAAAGGAAUAAUAAAGUGGAGGAAUUCCAUGGAGACUGGAACAACCUCCAGGAAUUGAUGCAGAGUGAAAGGAGCAGAACCAGGAAAACAUUGUACACAGAGAAUGAUACACUGUGGUAUAAUCGAAUGUAAUAGACUUCUCCAUUAGUGUCAAUGCAGUGAUCCUGAACAAUCUGCAGGGAUCUAGGAGAAAGAAAAAAACACUAUCCACAAGCAGAGGACAAACUGUGAGAGUAAAAACACCGAGGAAAGGCAACUGCUUGACUACAGGGGUUGAGGGGAUAUGACUGAGGAGAGACUCUAAAUGAACACUCUAAUGCAAAUACCAACAACAUUGGAAAUGGGUUCGAAUCAAGGACACAUGUGAUACCCAGUGGAAUCACGAGUUGGCUAUGGGAGAGGUGGUGGUGGUGGUGGGGAAGAAAAUGAUCUUUGUUUCCAAUGAAUAAUGUUUGAAAAUGACCAAAUAAAAUAAUGUUAAAAAAAAAGAAAAGAAAAGAAAAGAAAAGAAGGGAUAUUUUCCCAAGUGGGGUAGGAGAGAAACAGAAGAAAGAAGAGGUGAAGUCUGAGGGUUAAAAGGAAGUAGGAACUGGUGAUGGAACAAUGAGAGGGGAGAAGGGAAGGGGUGGAAAGACUGGGGAAAAUCCCUCUUCCUCAAGUGUGGCAAUCAGCCCAAAGCUUCCCUCUUCCAAAUCCUCUUAGCAGGCUCACAUUUCAUAGCAUUCACCCACAACCUUUGCAUGUGUCCUCAGAGAUAGAAAAGCUCCACAGCCUAAGUCUUUUUUCUAAAGGCAGGGAACACCCUGUACUCAGGGUCCCCAGUGAACCUGGACAGUGGCCACAGUUGGCUCUUCCUCCCCACAGCUCUACCAUUGUACAUCCUCCAGUUUAGACCCCUUUUCUUCCAGUGGCCUCUUCCUUCUCAAGGGAUUGCAGUCAUGUGGCUUUGAUAAAUGGACUUAAUAUGCAGUGAGAAUUAAUCACACCAUCCUGCUGGAAGGGGGAGAUACAGCUGCAUGCAAUGCCCAGAUCUCAGGCUGAUUUAUCACCUGGGUCCAAUGCUGGGAGGUGCCAAGGUUUAACUCACAAAGCUUCUGUCUCCACUCAGUCUGAGCAUGCUCCUUUAGGUGGCUGCUUGGAGAUGGGGGACAAAAAAGUGUCCAGACAAGCAUGGGAGUGGCAGAAAUCCAUUUCCAUGAAACCUAGGCUUAUCACCAUCUGGAGUAUUUCCCCCAAAUGAAGAUGCCACACUUUGGGGAGAAUGGGGGGCAAGCUAGAGAUGCAUCUAAAGGAGGAUGACCAGAGUAAUGGAGGGAUAGGAAACCAGGCUAUCGUCUUCCUGGUUUUUGGCUGAGGACAUGUGGCAGCCCUUCAAAUGCUUGAAGACAACAGUCAUGUUCCAGGUCCACCUCUUCAACUCCAGAUUCCUUGGUUUCUUUACCUAAUCCCAGUAUACCAUGAGAUCAAGGCUCUUUUGCCACCUCAUUCUUUCUUUCAUUCUUUUAUUCAUUUCUUCAUCUCCUAGCUUAUCAGUAUGCUUCUUUAAAACCCUUGCCUUCCAUCUUGGAAUCAAUACUGUGUAUUGGCUUCAAGACAGAAGAGUGGUAAGGGCUAGGCAAUGGGGGUUAAGUGACCUGCCCAGGGUCACACAGCUGGGAAGUGUCUGAGAUCAGAUUUGAACCUAAGACCUCCCAUCUCUAGACCUGACUCUCAAUCCACUGAGCCACCCAGCUGCCCCACCCCCAGUAUGCUUCUUAAGAAGAGAUAGCUGGUAAAACCCAGUGGAAUUGCACAUCGGCUAUGAGGAGUGAGGGGAGCAAAGGGAAAGAAUAUGAUUCUUGUAACCAAGGAAUAAUGUUCUAAACUGACUAAUUAAACAAAAUUAAAAAAAAAAAAGAGGUAGCUGGGUGAUGCAGUGGAUGGAGCUCUGGAUAUAAAUCAGGAAGAUCUCAGAAACUUGUUAACUCUUUGAUCCUACAUAAGCCACUUAAUUUUUGUCAGCCUCAGUUUCCUAAACUGUGAAAUUGAGGUAAUAAUUGUACCAACUUCCAGAGUUUUUUGUAAGGAUUGAAAGAGAUAAUAUUUGUAAGAUGCUUAGCACAGUGCCCAGCAAAUAGUAGUAGCUUAAUAAAUGCUUGUUUUCUUCCUUCUUUCCCUCUUCGAAUGUGGUAUAAAGAAAUGAAGGAGGCACAAUAUCAGUGUUGUUGUUAUUAUUAUUAUUAUCAUCCUUGUCAUUAUUACAUAGAUAAGAUGUGGUCAGACUAGGAUACAGAGGCUAGGAAUGAUCACCUCCCUAGUCUUCCUUAAUUCAGGCUAAAGUUGUAUUGAAUGCUUUGCCUGGCAUGCCAUAUUGACAUGUAUUGAACUUGCAGUCCACUAAAACUGCGCCACUCUAUUCCAGAUGAACUCCUUGCUCUCUGGCUACCUCUCCACUACUUUGUACUUGUGAAGUAGCUGAGUGUAAGACUUUACAUAUGUCUCUCUUGGAUUUCCUCUUAGUAGAUGAGACCCACUCAGUGAGAAACGUAUGAGUGAGUGUGUUUUCAUUGCUCAAGCACAGCGGCCAUCACUCCUUGUGUCUCUCCCAAGGCAGGAGCCAGUGUGUGCCAGUGAUGGGAUCAGCUUUUCCCUGGGUGGGCAGGAGGAUAAUCCUCUGCCGAGGUUCCCUCUGGGAGGUGUUGGGAAGAGAAGCUUACAUUCAGAAGCCAAGUGGGGUUGGUAUCCAGAUGAUCUGUGAAGUGCUAAGAUGAACAAGGAGUAAGGGCCAAGGCAGUCUGCACCAGGAUGCAGGGUGUUCCGGGGAGUUGACAGUUGGUCCACCACCACCAGAUUGCCCCAAAGUUCCAAUCUUUUUAUUGUAGUGGUUUCUCUCCUUUCUCUCAUUUGGCAUCGGCAUACGGGCAUGUCAGUAUGUUCAUGGAUGUGGUCCACUGAGCCUCUUGCUGACUCAGCCACCUCUUUCAGUCCAUGGACUCAGACACAUCUGCCAACAUCACCCUAUUCUAGAUGGGAAUUAAGAGGCAGCUCAGCUGGUCCCUUUCUGCCAGAUAGUGCUAGGCUGGAUCUGCCUUCACAGCUUCAUCUUCUUCUAUCCACAGCAGCCAACAUUGUUCUUUACACAUGGAAUGUUUGUUGAACGAAUUAGUACUUGCUCUCAGUACUAGUUAGUAAAUGUUGUGUGAGGGCUCAGUGACAACAUGAGACACGUCUCUGAGUGAUGCAAACAUCCUUGGCUACCACCCCAUACUAGAGAAAUGACACAUACUAUAAUAAUGAUCCCACACCAAACACUCACUCCAGCUACCAACCAUACCCCAUACCUAGUCAACUCUACCCUACCCUUUCCCAGUUCUUAUUCCAUCACGUCACCAAAGGCUUGUCUCCUCCUCCUACUGUAAAGGACAUUGUUGACCUUCCAUUUAGAGAGAGCAGAGUGUGAUGGAUAAAGAGACAGCCUCAGAUCCAAGAAGAUCUGAAUUUAGGUCCUUCCUCUUUAUAUAUUGUUGGAGUUUCAAUAGAAGUGUCGAACUUAGACCCUCCAAGCUCUGAUUGCUGGCCCAAAACAGAUUAAAAUAUAAUUGGGAAAUGUUUGAUCAAAUAAAUAGAAAUACACUACAACACAGAUAAUGUUAAUUUGUGGUUUUCUGAGUCAAUUUGGGGUUCAUAGAGGUCCUAUUCAAUUUGAAUUGGCCAAAAGGUGCCAACAUGUAUUAACUGAGAGUUCUUGAUACCAGUGAAAGCACAACUCCAGUUCCUCUCCUCUGCUCAUGUAGCGCUGAAUCAGUAUCAUAUAAUAAAAAGGUUAGAUUUGGAGUCAGAUGACCUGCGUUCAAAUCCUGUCUUUAAUAAAUAGUUCUUAUACAACUUUGUGGAAAUUAUUCCCUAGGCUUUAGCUUUUCCAUAUGAUUGAAUUGGCCUUGAUGAUCCCCAAGCUCCCAUUUAGCUUGUGAUCCUAUGAAGGGUAGUGGUCACACUUAUGUCUUGCCUUUGCCUUCUAAUGCCCUGAUCUCCUUGGCUGAUGAAGAGAUAAUAGACACACUAGUUGUUGCAUCAGGUAACCAGUGGCUUGGGCUAGGUAGAGGAAUGUUCAGUGCUCUAGUGGGAAUACUCUGGAGGAAGAUAAAGCCGAAAGGUAGGGCUCCUUUCAUUUUCUAUCUCCAAUGCCUAGCACAUGUCUGGCAUGCUCCCCAUCUUGUACCUGUGAUGUUAGCACUAUAGGAGAUUUCUGGUGAGGAAACUCCCUUCACUAAUGCAAAUGGCCACCUCAUCUGCCACUUAGAGUCUUCCACGGAAGCCUGAGGGCACUGAGAAGUGGCUUCUUACAUCUCACAUCUCACACAGGAUUACACAACUAGUAGGUGUCAGAAAUGGGAUUAAACUGGAUCUUCCUGCCCCUAAAGUUGGCUCUUCACCCACUAUGCCAUGCUCCACUCCCUCCAACCUUGCCCAUAACAGAAGAAGCUUAAUAUAUGUUUCUUCAACUGAAUUGAAUUGAAUACUCCCAAGGAAACUGAAUGUGAAGUAUUUCUGAGCACUAAGCUAGCACAGGGUAGGCAAAGCCUUAGUUCUUGACUUGGUUGGGAAAUGAAGAGGUUAGGAUGGGGUAGAAAGAAUCUGGUUUGAUAGUACAUGUGAAAAAGACCUGAGAGUUUCAGUGGGCCACAAGUAUCAGCUCAAAAAUCCAGACAUUUUAGACUGCAUAAAGAGGAGAGUUGAGAGGCUACCUUUGCUAUGCUCUUCUCUGCUCUGCUUAUGUCUUAAAUUUUGAGUCUAAUCUGGAUUCACAUUUUAGGAGAGACCCUAAUGGUUGGAGUUGGCCCAGAGAAAGAUGAUCAAAACUGUAAGAUAACUGGAAACUAUAUCCUUUAAGGGAAACUGGAAGGAUUAAAAUGGUUUAGUAUGGGAGUAGAAGCCAGGGAUGUAUUGAUAACUAUCUUCAAAUGUCUAUAGGCCUAGGACUUGUAUGGUGUGGAGCAAAGGAUGGAGCAAAGUCUUGGAACCAAGACUUGGAAUCUAUAGGGAUCUAAAUUCAGCUCCUGCCUCUGACAUAUACUUGUUCUAACAAUAGGAAGCCACUUGGGCUUUAGGAGUCUCGGUUUACUCAUCUGUAAAAUGGGGAUAAUAAAUCUGUGGCAUCCUACUUUAGCAUUAUUGUGAAGAUUA